Malaya genurostris is the source of this 1101-nucleotide long non-coding RNA. RefSeq lists it as uncharacterized. The record is from RefSeq and is a predicted model, not a curated record. The transcript has 3 exons. Lineage: Eukaryota; Metazoa; Arthropoda; Insecta; Diptera; Culicidae.
AUUCCGAGUAAUCCCGAAGAAUUCUCGGGAAAUGACGUACUUCCGCUUACGUUGAGAUUCUCUUCCCUAAUCUGAGGAUUACAGGGCUCAAUCACUUUGUCCCAGUUCGUUGAGUAGAGUGGUAGUGACGCGAUUUUGCUCCGUUUACUGAAAUUGUUUAAAGCCAGAAAAUAAAGUGUGUGAGUUUAUCGUGUGCGGCAUAGAUUUGUGUGCUGAUAGAAAGAUAAGGUUAUCAUCCGUACGCUCGCUGGUCAUCGUUCGCUCACUGCGUCACUCGCCACAUCCUAGAGGACAAAUUUGCCCGACGCACGAUUUUCCGUCGGAAGGGAGUCGAUCCGCUACCACAUCGCUCCAUUGGAAGUAAUCUUCCGGUGGCCUAAGGAAGUCCACGUGUCGGUGAAACACCGAUCAUUCGACCGGCAGAAAUACCAGCAGCAUCAAAAAAGCCCUCUUCAGCUGGUUAGAUUCGGGCGAAUGCAGUAAACCCUGUAUCAUCGUUCAUCAGUCGCUGAGUCGGUGAGUCCGUUCCGUUUUACCUAUUUGAUCAAGUAGACGUCCAUGAAUACCGAAACCGAUAUUAAUUGAUAACCGCUGGAUUGAUUUUCGGACCCCGCUUAUAGACGGGCGCGUCCAUGACGUGAUCACGUUUACGAUCCAUGUGCACAUGUGACUGCGUUCUCGGAAGCACCCUCCGAAACGCACACAAAUAAUUACACCCGGGUGUCCAAGCUUUGACCAUUCAUCGCUUGCCGCUCCUGAAGAUGUCAUCAUAACCUGUGGUUGGGUCGAACAAUGAGAUAAAAAAGCACACUAACGAACUAGUAGAUAGGGAUAGAAAGAAAACGCACACAAUAGAAAGCUAGGCCUAGGAAUCAGCAUGCAGAAAUAAAUUAUACUUACCGUGAAAUCAUGUCCAAUUUACUAAAUACAUUACAAUCUAUGCUUAAAGUUAAAUAAAUGUUUUUUGCUAGUGUAGCUAGAUAGAGUUUUUAGUUGACUGAAAUGUUUCCACGUCACUUCGGUUAUGUUGAGUCCGCUUUCUUUACCACAUGGUAAAUUUGAAUCUGUUAAGAAUAAUCUCUUCCACUUUAGUAGCGGUAU